This 88-nucleotide non-coding RNA is filed under the name Clostridium sp. RNAcentral's name for it is "c-di-GMP sequence". It matches the Rfam family "c-di-GMP-I riboswitch aptamer". From Rfam's summary of the family: GEMM was predicted in a large-scale screen for bacterial structured RNA regulatory elements. Genes associated with GEMM are involved in a diverse array of functions, including chemotaxis regulation, signal transduction, secretion and chitin. RNAcentral also lists the same sequence under 1 other name. The record is from RNAcentral. Lineage: Bacteria; Bacillati; Bacillota; Clostridia; Eubacteriales; Clostridiaceae.
AAAUGAAACUGGCACACUUAUUGAAAAAUAAGGUCGCAAAGCCGUGAGUCUAAGGGAAGUAAAUUUCUAUGAUUGUCAGGUUACCAAA